AAAGACUUAGUCCUAACCUUACCGUUAGUUCUUGCUAUAUAUAUACAUGCAAGUAUCCGCAUUCCAGUGAAAAUGCCCUCAACAUCUUACCAAGAUAACAGGAGCAGGCAUCAGGCUCACCCCUCCUCCCUCCGUAGCCCAAGACGCCUUGCCUAGCCACACCCCCACGGGUAUUCAGCAGUAAUUGACAUUAAGCAAUAAGUGUAAACUUGACUUAGUUAAAGCAAUCCUUAGGGUUGGUAAAUCUUGUGCCAGCCACCGCGGUCAUACAAGAAACCCAAAUUAACCUUACACGGCGUAAAGAGUGGUUCUUCAUUAUCAACUCAACUAAGAUUGAAAUGCAACCAAGCUGUUAUAAGCAUAAGAUGCACCUAACGUCUCCUAUUAAAACGAUCUUAGCCACCUGACUGAUAAAACUCCACGAAAGCUAGGACACAAACUGGGAUUAGAUACCCCACUAUGCCUUGCCCUAAAUCUUGAUGUUCUUCCUACCCAAGCAUCCGCCCGAGAACUACGAGCACAAACGCUUAAAACUCUAAGGACUUGGCGGUGCUCCAAACCCUCCUAGAGGAGCCUGUUCUAUAAUCGAUAAUCCACGAUACACCUAACCAUCUCUCGCCAUAUCAGCCUAUAUACCGCCGUCGCCAGCUCACCCUCAUCCUGAAGGCCUAACAGUGAGCACAAUAGCCCUCUCCCCCGCUAACAAGACAGGUCAAGGUAUAGCUUAUGAGAUGGAAGAAAUGGGCUACAUUUUCUAAUAUAGAAAACCCCACGACAAGGAAUGUGAAACCAUCCCUAAAAGGCGGAUUUAGUAGUAAAGCAGGAUAAUCAUGCCUUCUUUAACCUGGCCCUGGAGCACGUACAUACCGCCCGUCACCCUCCUCAAAAGCUGCCACCACCCACAAUUCAUAAAAUACCCCCAAGCUAAAGACGAGGCAAGUCGUAACAAGGUAAGUGUACCGGAAGGUGCACUUAGUCUAC
This 981-nucleotide non-coding RNA is filed under the name Cnemotriccus fuscatus. Its description in RNAcentral is "12S ribosomal RNA". It matches the Rfam family "Bacterial small subunit ribosomal RNA". Lineage: Eukaryota; Metazoa; Chordata; Aves; Passeriformes; Tyrannidae. The record is from RNAcentral.